UGAAUACGAGACGCUACGGCGUCGAAGCAGUCUAUGUCAUACUUCCAAGAAAAGCUCGCAAUGUCAUAAACAAAUAAUGCCUGUACCAUAACCGACACAGGUGGGUAGGUAGAGUAUACUAAGGGGCGCGAGAUAACUCUCUCUAAGGAACUCGGCAAAAUGACUCCGUAACUUCGGGAGAAGGAGUGCCUUAUUUAUAAGGUUGCAAUAACAAGAUCCAAGCAACUGUUUAUCAAAAACACAGGUCUCCGCUAAGUCGUAAGACGAUGUAUGGGGGCUGACGCCUGCCCAGUGCCAGAAGGUUAAAGAAGUUGGUUAGCAUUCGCGAAGCUGAUAACUGAAGCCUGGUGAACGGCGGCCGUAACUAUAACGGUCCUAAGGUAGCGAAAUUCCUUGUCGGGUAAGUUCCGACCCGCACGAAAGGCGUAAUGAUUUGGAUACUGUCUCGGAGAGGGGCUCGGUGAAAUAGACUUGUCUGUGAAGAUGCGGACUACCUGCACCUGGACAGAAAGACCCUAUGAAGCUUUACUGUAACUUGAAAUCGAAAUUGGACUUUAUUUGCGCAGCAUAGGUGGGAGGCGUUGAGAGUAUUCUUGCGGGAAUAUUGGAGCCAUCAGUGAGAUACCACUCUUGUAAUGUUAGAUUUCUAACUUUGGAUCAUUAUCUGGUCAAAGAACAGUUUCAGGCGGGCAGUUUGACUGGGGCGGUCGCCUCCCAAAUGGUAACGGAGGCGUACAAAGGUUUCCUCUGAACGGGUAGAAAUCGUAUCUAGAGUGUAAAGGCAUAAGGAAGCUUGACUGUGAGACCUACAAGUCGAGCAGGGACGAAAGUCGGUCUUAGUGAUCUGACGGUGCUGAGUGGAAAGGCCGUCACUCAACGGAUAAAGGUUACUCUAGGAUAACAGGCUGAUCUCCCCCAAGAGUUCACAUCGACGGGGAGGUUUGGCACCUCGAUGUCGGCUCAUCGCAUCCUGGGGCGGUAGUACGUCCCAAGGGUUGGGCUGUUCACCCAUGAAAGCGGUACGCGAGCUGGGUUCAGAACGUCGUGAGACAGUUCGGUCCAUAUCCGGUGUAGGCGUUAGAAUAUUGAGAGGAGCCUUCUUUAGUACGAGAGGACCGAGAAGGACAUACCUCUGGUGUACCAGUUAUCGUGCCAACGGUAAACGCUUGGUAGCUAUGUAUGGAGAGGAUAACCGCUGAAAGCAUCUAAGUGAGAAGCCCACCUCAAGAUAAG
This 1233-nucleotide ribosomal RNA is filed under the name metagenome. RNAcentral's name for it is "bacterial LSU rRNA". It matches the Rfam family "Bacterial large subunit ribosomal RNA", at positions 1564 to 2808 of the family's 2925-position model. The record is from RNAcentral.